GGUCAUGUGGCACAUGUGGGCCAAUGGGGCUGUGGGCUGGCAAAAUGUGUCAUGGAGGAGUCCCACCCUCAUGGGGACCCCAAAAUCCAACCUGCUCAGAAGCUUAGCUACCCCCCCUCCCCCCCCCAGGGGAAGAUGGAGAUAAAGAGGAAGAGAAGUGUAGAGGCGAUCGAUGGCGGGGUGGGGGGCAGCAGCAGGGGGGGGCGGUGCUGUAGCCUGGGGGUGUGGGGGUGUGGCAUCACCACUAAAAAGCUGAGGUGCUGGGGCUGAGAGCGAAGGAGACCAGCAGAGAUAUGAGCGUCUCACUCACCAUCCAGGUCAAGGGCGGCCGCUCCACAAGCAGACCGGGGCACAGCACAGAGUUAACUGUGGACAAGGCAGCCCAGCCGGUGCUGGAGAAGGACGCUGCUCUUCUUGGCAUGGAGGUCGUAUCUCUGAGCUCCACCGCAGCUGCUGUGUCCUGCAAGCAUGGUGAUCAUAGCAG
Paramormyrops kingsleyae is the source of this 484-nucleotide non-coding RNA. NCBI's taxonomy places the organism in Eukaryota, Metazoa, Chordata, Actinopteri, Osteoglossiformes, Mormyridae. The record is from RefSeq and is a predicted model, not a curated record.